UAAAAUAAAACUCUGUAGUCACGAAUUUGAUUGUGUUGGUAUGAAUAUAUGUUGUAGUAUGUGAUUCCUACAGUGUAAGAAAAAUAUACUAAUGUCUUAGAAACUUAAAAUUAUUGAAAUAGAUUAAGGAAGCCACCGCUAUGGUGAAUUACUAUGGUUAGAUUGAUUUGUUUAGAUCCAGUGAAAUUGCUGCUUUGACAACGCUACGUCAUGGUACUCUAUUCCAUACUUUAUGCGAGCAUAAAUGUAUAUAUAGUUUUCUGAUGUACAAGCAUUUCAUUAAUGUGGACCACUGUUUUUGUAAGUGAAUGUCUGUGUGGUUGUUUAGUGUUUCUGUUUAGCCUGAGUAAUGUGUUUUGUCUAAAUGGGUAUGCACCUGUGGCUCGGAAGCAUGGUGCCACUGAUGUGUUCAGGCUGUGAAGUUCCAGUGGCAUGGCUGGAAAAGCGUCGAUGAGUGAUAGCACUUGGAAUAAAUGCCUCAUGCUCACUUACAACACUGGGUAUACUCAUGGAAUCAUCUGGAACGAGAAAGAUGAAUGACAUCAGAGAUGAGACAUGUCAGUUGAUCUACUGAGCAUUGCGGCUAAGUGUGUCUUGGGAUGGUUGGCGUGAUGGCUGGCUGUCCUGCUCCCAGACCGUCCCUGUGCCAGUGUUUGAACGGGACAUGGUGGCCAGACUUAAGCGGUAGGCUGAUGUGGAUGUUCCCACCGUACUAAUAGACGUCUUUCCCUGAUAUGCUAGACAGAAAAAGAGCAACAGGUUAAAAUAUGGAAAUCAAACAAAGCUUCUGAAACAUGCAUCUCAUUCAUUGAUUGUGAGCCUAAAAAAUAAUAAUAAAUGUAUCUGCCUUUCAAUGUCAGUCGUAAGCAAGGCUUUGAACCGGUUCACAGAACGAAAAAAACGAAAACCAGAAACUUUUGAUGUUUUGCUGGGAGCAGAAACGAAACCAGAAACUUUACAUUUUUUAAUGUUCCGGAACAGAAUUUUUUCCGUUCUUUGACAAGAUUUCUAUGCAAUAUGACUUGGGGAGGUUCACUUCCAGCCCUUCACUCAUCGGGAGAAAUAUAAUAGAGAAGUUUGCCGCCAGCUGUACAGGCAGAAUCUUUUUUCAUUUCCCUCUGGGCCCUGACAAAGUUAUUGACGUUUGUUUAAAAGUCUAUAUUCAUAAUGGCAGCUGUACGUACACCAUUGUGAUUUUGUAUUGUCUGAUGACAUAAGAGAGACAAAAAUGCACUGAUUGGGCCCUGACCAGGUUUGGCCAAUUGAUGUUCACAAUGGCAGCUAUGUAGCCUACCAUAUUUUAGUUAUUUGCAUUAGUUGCAUAGGCUUUUGGAUGGAUGUAAGAACUACAGUGAUGCUUCUGUAAUGCUUUGUGGUUUUGUACUGUUGGAUGACAAGAGAAACAAACUGAUUGGGCCUUGACCAGGUAUGGUCAAUUGAAGUUCUCAAUGACCGCUAUGUAGCCUGCCCUAUUUGUCAUUUGAGCUGUGUUAGAAGUAUAAUGGAUAUGUGUUCAGUUGUUUGCCAAUAAACGACAUGGCAGACA
This is a long non-coding RNA of Alosa sapidissima (American shad), 1546 nucleotides long. RefSeq lists it as uncharacterized. The record is from RefSeq and is a predicted model, not a curated record. NCBI's taxonomy places the organism in Eukaryota, Metazoa, Chordata, Actinopteri, Clupeiformes, Clupeidae. The transcript has 2 exons.